This 404-nucleotide ribosomal RNA is filed under the name Bacillota bacterium. RNAcentral describes it as "Firmicutes bacterium partial 16S ribosomal RNA". It matches the Rfam family "Bacterial small subunit ribosomal RNA", at positions 355 to 776 of the family's 1533-position model. The record is from RNAcentral. Lineage: Bacteria; Bacillati; Bacillota.
UGGGGAAUCUUGCACAAUGGGGGCAACCCUGAUGCAGCGACGCCGCGUGAGCGAUGAAGCCCUUCGGGGUGUAAAGCUCUUUCGGCAGGGACGAUAAUGACGGUACCUGAAGAAGAAGCUGCGGCUAACUACGUGCCAGCAGCCGCGGUAAUACGUAGGCAGCGAGCGUUGUUCGGAGUUACUGGGCGUAAAGAGUGCGUAGGCGGUGUUCCAAGUCUGGUGUGAAAUCUCCCGGCUCAACUGGGAGGGUGCGCCGGAAACUGGGACGCUGGAGUAUGGGAGAGGUAAGCGGAAUUCCUGGUGUAGCGGUGAAAUGCGUAGAUAUCAGGAGGAACACCUGCGGUGUAGACGGCUUACUGGACCAUGACUGACGCUGAGGCACGAAAGCGUGGGGAGCAAACAGG